UACGAAGGGGGCUAGCGUUGCUCGGAAUCACUGGGCGUAAAGCGCACGUAGGCGGCUUUCUAAGUCAGGGGUGAAAUCCCGGAGCUCAACUCCGGAACUGCCUUUGAUACUGGAAAGCUUGAGUUCGGGAGAGGUGAGUGGAACUGCAAGUGUAGAGGUGAAAUUCGUAGAUAUUCGCAAGAACACCAGUGGCGAAGGCGGCUCACUGGCCCGAUACUGACGCUGAGGUGCGAAAGCGUGGGGAGCAAACAGG
This 253-nucleotide ribosomal RNA is filed under the name uncultured bacterium. RNAcentral describes it as "partial 16S ribosomal RNA". It matches the Rfam family "Bacterial small subunit ribosomal RNA", at positions 524 to 776 of the family's 1533-position model. The record is from RNAcentral.